RNAcentral lists this ribosomal RNA (224 nucleotides) under Escherichia coli. RNAcentral's name for it is "partial 23S ribosomal RNA". It matches the Rfam family "Bacterial large subunit ribosomal RNA", at positions 321 to 548 of the family's 2925-position model. The record is from RNAcentral. Lineage: Bacteria; Pseudomonadati; Pseudomonadota; Gammaproteobacteria; Enterobacterales; Enterobacteriaceae.
UGUGUGUGUUAGUGGAAGCGUCUGGAAAGGCGCGCGAUACAGGGUGACAGCCCCGUACACAAAAAUGCACAUACUGUGAGCUCGAUGAGUAGGGCGGGACACGUGGUAUCCUGUCUGAAUAUGGGGGACCAUCCUCCAAGGCUAAAUACUCCUGACUGACCGAUAGUGAACCAGUACCGUGAGGGAAAGGCGAAAAGAACCCCGGCGAGGGGAGUGAAAAAGAA